RNAcentral lists this ribosomal RNA (513 nucleotides) under Triticum aestivum (bread wheat). Its description in RNAcentral is "partial small subunit ribosomal RNA". The record is from RNAcentral. Lineage: Eukaryota; Viridiplantae; Streptophyta; Magnoliopsida; Poales; Poaceae.
GCGAAUUAUGGAAUUCACUACACUGGGCAACCAAAGGUGCUUGAAGGGUAUAGUGACUCAAACUGGAUCUCAGAUGCUGAUGCGAUAAAGGCCACGAGCGGUUAUGUAUUCACUCAUGGAGGUGGCGCUGUUUCUUGGAAGUCUUGCAAGCAGACCAUCUUAACGAGGUCAACAAUGGAAGCAGAACUCACAACACUAGAUACAGCUACGGUCGAAGAAGAUUGGCUCCACCGGCUCUUGAAUGACUUGCCGGUUGUUGAGAAACCUGUACUGGGUAUCCUUAUGAACUGCGAGAAUCAAACUAUGAUCACGAAAGUGAGCAGCUCAAAGGAUAACAUGAAGUCAUCAAGACACGUUCAGAGAAGGUUAAAGUCUGUCAGGAAAAUGAGAAACUCCGGAGUUAUUGCAUUGGAUUAUAUCCAAACGUCUAAAAAUCUGGCAGAUCCUUUCACUAAGGGUCUAUCACGUAAUGUGAUAGAUAAUGCAUCGAGGGAGAUGGGUAUGAGACCCACA